Haliotis rubra (blacklip abalone) is the source of this 683-nucleotide long non-coding RNA. RefSeq lists it as uncharacterized. Lineage: Eukaryota; Metazoa; Mollusca; Gastropoda; Lepetellida; Haliotidae. The transcript is spliced from 4 exons. The record is from RefSeq and is a predicted model, not a curated record.
GAAGACGAAACCUUAGAUAAGUGUUGUAAUUAACAGCUAUCUGACCCAAUUAGCAAUGGAGGAUCAGGAUGGCAGUCUCUGGACAAUUAAGGUCGGGCAGACGUCACACUGAAACGCUGUUCGUGUCUACACUGACAACAGAGUCCACAACAGCGGAGAUGAUCGCCUAAGUCUGUCAACAAAGCAGUCCUGCACUAUGUCAAAGGUUUUCAUGAUGAAUCACCUCAUAAUAACCGUACUCUGCUUGUCUGAAUGCAGACCGCCGCCAAAUAACUGGAAUACUGUUGAGUGCAGCGUUACACAACAUCAAAACCAAACCAAAUUCUUCCGUGACAAUGAACCAGAACCAUAAUAUUGGUGAGUGUGGCGUUAAACAACCAAUAAUGGCGUUAAUGAUUAAUGGACACGAUAUUGUGUGACCAGUAUAACCUGCAUUAACCCCACUGUUGUACCUGCUACUGGCGCCAACAAGACAACAGUGACAGGUGAGUGUUGUGUUUGUUGAAGGGUUAAACUUAAAGGCCAGACAAUCAUGGCUGCCAGCUGUUAAGGGUCAUCAAGUGCACUGAGUCCCCCCUUCCUGUCUGGAUCAGUUUAAACUUCAGUAGUGCAUACAUUUCUAAGGAUAAUUUGCAUGUUAGCGUGUACAUUUAAUUCCUUAAUUUGUUAGCUUGAUAUGAGAU